RNAcentral lists this ribosomal RNA (369 nucleotides) under uncultured organism. RNAcentral's name for it is "eukaryotic LSU rRNA". The stretch from base 1 to 146 matches the Rfam family "5.8S ribosomal RNA". The record is from RNAcentral.
ACAACGGAUCUCUUGGUUCUGGCAUCGAUGAAGAACGCAGCGAAAUGCGAUAAGUAGUGUGAAUUGCAGAAUUCAGUGAAUCAUUGAAUCUUUGAACGCACAUUGCGCCCUUUGGUAUUCCAAAGGGCAUGCCUGUUCGAGCGUCAUUUGUACCCUCAAGCUUUGCUUGGUGUUGGGCGUCUUGUCUCUAGCUUUGCUGGAGACUCGCCUUAAAGUAAUCGGCAGCCGGCCUACUGGUUUCGGAGCGCAGCACAAGUCGCACUCUCUAUCAGCAAAGGUCUAGCAUCCAUUAAGCCUUUUUUUUCAACUUUUGACCUCGGAUCAGGUAGGGAUACCCGCUGAACUUAAGCAUAUCAAUAAGCGGAGGAA